AGCGAACGCUGGCGGCAGGCCUAAAACAUGCAAGUCGAACGCCGUAGCAAUACGGGGUGGCAGACGGGUGAGUAACACGUGGGAACGUGCCUUUUGGUUCGGAACAACCCAGGGAAACUUGGGCUAAUACCGGAUAAGCCCUUACGGGGAAAGAUUUAUCGCCAAAAGAUCGGCCCGCGUCUGAUUAGCUAGUUGGUGAGGUAAUGGCUCACCAAGGCGACGAUCAGUAGCUGGUCUGAGAGGAUGAUCAGCCACAUUGGGACUGAGACACGGCCCAAACUCCUACGGGAGGCAGCAGUGGGGAAUAUUGGACAAUGGGCGCAAGCCUGAUCCAGCCAUGCCGCGUGAGUGAUGAAGGCCCUAGGGUUGUAAAGCUCUUUUGUGCGGGAAGAUAAUGACGGUACCGCAAGAAUAAGCCCCGGCUAACUUCGUGCCAGCAGCCGCGGUAAGAC
This 452-nucleotide ribosomal RNA is filed under the name uncultured bacterium. Its description in RNAcentral is "bacterial SSU rRNA". It matches the Rfam family "Bacterial small subunit ribosomal RNA", at positions 29 to 526 of the family's 1533-position model. The record is from RNAcentral.